CCUGCUCACACAGUAUUCUAGCGACGAUGGCGUCCUCCUCCUGAAUCUCAUCAGCAGCCUGUAAGAUGGCAUCAAUGUUGGUUGUACGGACGAGAGAAGGUGGGACAGCGCCGGCAAUGCCGCUUGGAGUUCUCUCAUGGCCUUGGCCAGCAGUUCUUAGUUGCUCCCUGUUCAAGGUGGCACGCACCAACCUCUCCCAGUUAUCAUAAACCCUAGCCA
This 219-nucleotide unclassified non-coding RNA is filed under the name Hevea brasiliensis (rubber tree). The record is from RNAcentral. Lineage: Eukaryota; Viridiplantae; Streptophyta; Magnoliopsida; Malpighiales; Euphorbiaceae.